GGGAGCAGCAGAGCGGUGCUGCAAUAUUCAUAUUGUUUUAAUUGCAACAUUAACAUUUCAUGCAGCUCUUGGCAUAUUUUCAGGUGCGGCCCUUUAGCUCAAUGCAAUACUGUGAAAGGUUGGAUCAGAACAAUUAGGAUACAGUGACUGGAUUUCUGGAUUUUAUUUUUUUUCUUUUGUAAGAAACACAAGCCUAGAUUCAAUUGCUGUCACUCCUUUUGUUUGGCAGAACAGGGAGUCAAGCACCCCUGAAGUAAAUGGAAUAAAGGAUGCGCUGUGGCACGUGCUUACCUUCUCUCUUUGCUGAGCUGAAGCCCUGCAGAAUGUCUGGUGUCUAAUAAUGGAUGAUACACUACGGUUUUGAAGCACCGUUAAACGUCGAGCUGAAGGGAAGUGCAAUCCAUCACCUUCCUCGUGGGCUGCCACUCAGCCGAGAGGAACAGAGAUCAGCCUUCAAUCACACGGGGGCUGGGGCUGAAGGAAACCUUCUGGAGAACACAGUGGAGAAAUAUUUUCAUUAGCAGAGGAGGACCUGACAGAGAUGAAGUGUCCCUUCACCUCGCCUGCCGGACCUCUGCCCUGCCCGGCGCUAACAGGACGAGCAAACACGGUCCCAGCAGCUUGUGCCAGCUGCCAAAUUUUAAGGGCUGGCUGCAUCCAGAUGUGUGAAACAGCCCCCACACGGAGAACAACCAGGCUUUUAUAGCCUGGGGGAGAUGGCUUUGCUUUUCUCCUGCCUGUCUACAAGUGAACGGGUGCCCUCGCACAGGCCAGAAAAAGUUGUCCUUGGGCAAUAAGGUCUGGGAGCACAGGAGGUAUCGUGGGCUCUGCCUCCUGCAGCGUGUUUGCAAAUGUAACAGGACUGCCCUUGGGGUGGGGGGUUUUCUCUGCUUCUCUCCAAGGAAAGCCAUUUCGCAGGCUGCUGUUGCAGUCAUCUUCUCUUAGUAUGUGUCCCCCUGUGGCAGAGGAGACUCACUUCUGCUCUUUGUAUCGGUUGUGCCAGGGAAAUGCAUGCAGCUGGGAGCCUGGCACAGGAAGGUCUGGUCCUCCACUCACAGUAUAAGGAUGCCUCGCCAGGUCCUGUCUUGCAGGUUGAAGGGAAAUUGUUUUAAUUUGUG
This 1118-nucleotide long non-coding RNA is filed under the name Anas zonorhyncha (Eastern spot-billed duck). Its description in RNAcentral is "lncRNA (ENSAZOG00000014955.1)". The record is from RNAcentral. Lineage: Eukaryota; Metazoa; Chordata; Aves; Anseriformes; Anatidae.